Molecule: ribosomal RNA, 337 nt
Filed under: uncultured bacterium
Lineage: Bacteria
Description: bacterial SSU rRNA
Rfam family: Bacterial small subunit ribosomal RNA
Source: RNAcentral
AGGGUUUGAUUAUGGCUCAGGAUGAACGCUGGCGGCGUGCUUAACACAUUCAAGUCGAACGGAGUCUUUUUGGAAGCUUGCUUCCGGGAAGACUUAGUGGCGGACGGGUGAGUAAUGCAUGAGCAACCUGCCUUCAGGAGGGGGAUAACAUCGGGAAACCGGUGCUAAUACCGCAUAGAGCAUUUUGCAGGCAUCUGCGAGAUGGGAAAGGAGCAAUCCGCCUGGAGAUGGGCUCAUGUCUGAUUAGAUAGUUGGUAGGGUAACGGCCUACCAAGUCUGCGAUCAGUAGCCGGACUGAGAGGUCGAACGGCCACAUUGGAACUGAGAUACGGUCCAG